RNAcentral lists this ribosomal RNA (1230 nucleotides) under Bacillus sp. (in: firmicutes). Its description in RNAcentral is "bacterial SSU rRNA". It matches the Rfam family "Bacterial small subunit ribosomal RNA", at positions 94 to 1311 of the family's 1533-position model. Lineage: Bacteria; Bacillati; Bacillota; Bacilli; Caryophanales; Bacillaceae. The record is from RNAcentral.
GUUUGAACCUGGGUCUAGAAGUCGUGCAGGGCCCGUAGACUGGGAUAACUUCUGGAAACCGGAGCUAAUACCGGAUAUGUUCUUUUCUCGCAUGAGAGAAGAUGGAAAGACGGCUUCUCCCUGUCCCUUAUAAAUGGGCCCGCGCCCCAUUACCUAGUUGGUGAGGUAAGGGCUCACCAAGGCAACGAUGCGUACCCAACCUGAAAGGGUGAUCGGCCACACUGGGACGGAAACACGGCCCAAACUCCUACGGAAGGCAGCAGUAGGGAAUCUUUCCGCAAUGGACGAAAUUYUGACGGAGCAACSCCSCGUGAACGAUGAAGGCUUUCGGGUCGUAAAGUUCUGUUGUUAGGGAAGAACAAGUACCAGAGUAACUGCUGGUACCUUGACGGUACCUAACCAAAAAGCCACGGCUAACUACGUGCCAGCAGCCGCGGUAAUACGUAGGUGGCAAGCGUUAUCYGGAAUUAUUGGGCGUAAAGCGCGCGCAGGUGGUUCCUUAAGUCUGAUGUGAAAGCCCCCGGCUCAACCGGGGAGGGUCAUUGGAAACUGGGGAACUUGAGUGUAGAAGAGGAAAGUGGAAUUCCACGUGUAGCGGUGAAAUGCGUAGAGAUGUGGAGGAACACCAGUGGCGAAGGCGACUUUCUGGUCUAUAACUGACACUGAGGCGCGAAAGCGUGGGGAGCAAACAGGAUUAGAUACCCUGGUAGUCCACGCCGUAAACGAUGAGUGCUAAGUGUUAGAGGGUUUCCGCCCUUUAGUGCUGCAGCUAACGCAUUAAGCACUCCGCCUGGGGAGUACGGCCGCAAGGCNUGAAACUCAAAGGAAUUGACGGGGGCCCGCACAAGCGGUGGAGCAUGUGGUUUAAUUCGAAGCAACGCGAAGAACCUUACCAGGUCUUGACAUCCUCUGACACUCCUAGAGAUAGGACGUUCCCCUUCGGGGGACAGAGUGACAGGUGGUGCAUGGUUGUCGUCAGCUCGUGUCGUGAGAUGUUGGGUUAAGUCCCGCAACGAGCGCAACCCUUGAUCUUAGUUGCCAGCAUUCAGUUGGGCACUCUAAGGUGACUGCCGGUGAUAAACCGGAGGAAGGUGGGGAUGACGUCAAAUCAUCAUGCCCCUUAUGACCUGGGCUACACACGUGCUACAAUGGAUGGUACAAAGAGCUGCAAACUCGCGAGGGUAAGCGAAUCUCAUAAAGCCAUUUUCAGUUCGGAUUGCAGCCUGCAUC